CAGCCCCUUCUCCCCAAGCAACCCCAGCUCUCUCCAUCUCUCUCUCGCCCUCAGCAUCCCCACCCGACCCCUUUCCCUCCAAGCCUCCUCUCUCCCUCCUGCUUCCUUUUCUGUCCCUUUCUUUCAUCCCUCCCUUCUCUCCCAUCUCCCUUCUCUAACUCUCUCCAACCUCUCUCUCCCUCAGCUCACUUCCCCUCAGUUUCCGCCCCACCUGCUCUGCCCCCACUUACAUUUCCUUGUCCAAGUUCCUUCAACUGCCUGGAGUCCAGUGGGUGCCUUGAGAGGCUGGAGAGCCGGCCUGGCGCCCCCGCCGGCAGCAUGAGAGGUUCCUGGGUGCAUCUGCACUCGGGGGCGGCGUCUAGCCUCAGACCCUGCCGCUGCGGGGCUGGCGCAGCUCCGAAAAGCUCCCCGCGCUCUCCUGGAGGGCGGCGUGGAGACGGCAGCAGUGACAGCGAGGGCGGCGUCUCCUUCGCAGGGGUGCUGUUCCUGCAGUUCGGGGAGGAGACUCGGCGCGUGCACAUCACGCACGAGGUCAGCAGCCUGGACACGCUGCACGCACUCAUCGCGCACAUGUUCCCGCAGAAGCUCACCAUGGGCAUGCUUAAGUCGCCCAAUACCGCCAUCCUCAUCAAAGACGAGGCUCGCAACGUCUUCUACGAGCUGGAGGACGUCCGGGACAUCCAGGACCGCAGUAUUAUCAAGAUCUACAGAAAGGAGCCCCUCUACGCUGCCUUUCCUGGCUCACAUCUCACCAACGGGGACCUCCGGAGAGAGAUGGUGUACGCAUCGCGGGAGUCCUCGCCCACGCGGCGCCUCAACAACCUGUCACCAGCGCCGCACCUGGCAUCCGGCUCGCCGCCGCCGGGGCUGCCGUCGGGGCUGCCGUCCGGGCUGCAGUCCGGUUCGCCGUCGCGUUCGCGCCUAUCGUACGCCGGGGGGCGCCCGCCUUCGUACGCCGGCAGCCCGGUGCACCACGCGGCCGAGAGGCUGGGAGGCGCCCCGGCCGCCCAGGGCGUCAGCCCCAGCCCCAGCGCCAUCCUGGAGCGGCGCGACGUGAAGCCGGACGAGGACCUGGCGAGCAAGGCGGGCGGCAUGGUGCUGGUGAAAGGCGAGGGUCUCUAUGCUGACCCCUACGGGCUGCUGCACGAGGGCCGUCUGAGCCUGGCCGCGGCCGCCGGCGACCCGUUCGCCUACCCGGGCGCCGGCGGCCUCUACAAGCGCGGCUCGGUGCGCUCGCUCAGCACCUACUCGGCCGCCGCGCUGCAGUCCGAUCUGGAGGACUCCCUGUACAAGGCGGCGGGCGGCGGCGGCCCGCUGUACGGCGACGGCUACGGCUUCCGCCUGCCGCCUUCGUCACCGCAGAAGCUGGCCGACGUGGCAGCACCCCCCGGAGGUCCCCCGCCACCGCACAGCCCCUACUCGGGGCCGCCCAGCCGCGGCUCGCCAGUGCGCCAGUCCUUCCGCAAGGACUCGGGCUCCUCGUCCGUCUUUGCCGAGAGUCCUGGAGGGAAGACCCGCAGCGCGGGGAGCGCCUCGACGGCCGGAGCUCCCCCUUCGGAGCUCUUCCCUGGGCCUGGGGAACGCUCGCUGGUUGGGUUCGGGCCGCCAGUGCCAGCCAAGGACACGGAGACCAGGGAGCGCAUGGAGGCCAUGGAGAAGCAGAUUGCCAGCCUCACAGGCCUGGUGCAGAGCGCCUUACUGCGAGGCUCUGAGCCUGAGACCCCCAGCGAGAAGAUUGAAGGCUCCAAUGGAGCAGCCACCCCCUCAGCACCCUGUGGGUCAGGCGGCCGGAGCAGCGGGGCCACCCCGGUGUCCGGCCCGCCCCCGCCCUCGGCCAGCAGCACCCCCGCAGGGCAGCCUACCGCCGUUAGCCGGCUGCAGAUGCAGCUUCACCUGCGAGGCCUGCAGAACAGCGCCAGUGACUUGCGCGGCCAGCUCCAGCAGUUGCGCAAGCUCCAGCUACAGAACCAGGAGUCGGUGCGCGCGCUGCUGAAGCGCACGGAGGCAGAGCUGAGCAUGCGCGUGUCGGAGGCGGCGCGGCGGCAGGAGGACCCGCUGCAGCGGCAGCGCACCCUGGUGGAAGAGGAACGGCUGCGCUAUCUCAACGACGAGGAGCUUAUUACCCAGCAGCUCAAUGACCUGGAGAAAUCGGUGGAGAAGAUCCAGAGGGACGUGUCCCACAACCACCGGCUGGUGCCCGGCCCUGAGCUGGAGGAGAAGGCACUGGUGCUGAAGCAGCUCGGGGAGACGCUGACAGAGCUCAAGGCUCACUUCCCGGGCCUGCAGAGCAAGAUGCGGGUGGUGCUGCGUGUGGAGGUGGAGGCGGUGAAGUUCCUGAAGGAGGAGCCCCAGCGCCUGGAUGGGCUCCUCAAGCGCUGCCGCGGGGUCACGGACACGCUGGCCCAGAUCCGAAGGCAAGUUGAUGAGGGUGUGUGGCCACCCCCCAACAAUCUCCUGAGUCAGUCCCCCAAGAAGGUGGCGGCAGAGACUGACUUCAACAAGAGUGUGGACUUCGAAAUGCCACCCCCCAGCCCCCCGCUGAACCUGCAUGAGCUGAGCGGGCCAGCUGAAGGAGCCUCUCUUACCCCCAAGGGGGGCAACCCCACCAAAGGCCUGGACACUCCUGGCAAGAGAAGCGUGGACAAAGCUGUGUCUGUUGAGGCUGCAGAGCGAGACUGGGAGGAGAAGCGGGCAGCCCUGACCCAGUACAGUGCCAAGGACAUCAACCGGCUGCUGGAAGAGACACAGGCAGAGCUGCUCAAGGCCAUCCCUGACCUGGACUGUGCCAGCAAGGCCCAUCCAGGCCCGGCCCCCACUCCAGAUCACAAGCCCCCCAAGGCCCCCCACGGCCAGAAGGCAGCCCCCCGAACGGAGCCCAGUGGGAGGAGGGGCUCAGAUGAGUUGACAGUGCCCCGAUACCGCACAGAGAAGCCCUCCAAGUCGCCCCCACCGCCCCCUCCCCGCCGGAGCUUCCCCUCCUCCCAUGGCCUGACCACCACACGUACCGGAGAGGUGGUGGUCACCAGCAAGAAGGACUCGGCCUUCAUCAAGAAGGCUGAGUCCGAGGAGCUGGAGGUGCAGAAGCCCCAGGUGAAGCUGCGCCGGGCUGUGUCUGAGGUGGCCCGCCCGGCCUCCACACCACCCAUCAUGGCCUCGGCCAUCAAGGACGAGGAUGACGAGGAUCGCAUCAUCGCAGAGCUAGAGAGUGGCGGAGGCAGUGUACCACCCAUGAAGGUGGUGACUCCGGGGGCCUCUCGGCUGAAGGCGGCCCAGGGCCAGGCGGGCAGCCCCGACAAAAGCAAACAUGGCAAGCAGAGGGCCGAGUACAUGCGGAUCCAGGCCCAGCAGCAGGUCUAAUGAGCAGGCGCGGAGGCUGUGUGGAGAGUGGACACACCUCACCCGUGGGUGUUUACUGCCCUUGUGGCCUGGUCAGAGGCUGCAGGGUGGCUCCUGGACCCAGAUGUUGUGAGAGACCCUUAGUGCACUCGUUUGAUUUAGUUAAUAUUUAUGAGCAGCUCCUGUAUGACAGGCCCAUUCUGGGUGUGAGGGUGGGGGCUGUGAUAUGUCCAGAUGCUCUCACUUAAAGAAGGUUCUAGACUCAGAGGCAAGACAUUAGAGAAGGUUCUAGACUCAGAGGCAAGAGGUUAGAGAUGGAUGAGUCCAUCUCUUUUUCAGAUGAGGGGGCAGCUCAGAGAAGGAGAGGGGCUUCCCAAAGGUGCACAGCAAGGUGGCAUCACAGCCAGGAUCGGGACCUAGGAAUCUUGGAACCCUUCCCUGCACUGGCCCUGGGACAGCCCUGGGCACCCAAGGCCCUGCCUCCCUACUGGCUCCCAGGAGAAUUUCUCAAAAAGCAGCCCUCCAGCCCCCCGCAGCCUCUCCACAGCUCCCACCUGCCUCCUCAUGGCCCCCAGACACCUUGCGAGCCCCACCUCCAGAUCUUUUUCCUGCCACUGCCAGGGAUGAGUUCCCCUUGUCCUGUCCGGGCUGGACCCUCCUGGGUGCCCAGCAGAGCAGCUGACACUGACAGAGCUUUCGCUGGGGCCAGGCAUGCGCAUUAUCUCAUCUCACACUCACCACACUGAGGAAGGUCUAUUACCCCCAUGUGACGGGGGCGGAAACUGAGGCUUAAUCCAAGGCCACACGGCUAGCAAGUGGGGGGCAGGACACAAGUCCAGACUGCCUCCCUCCCCACCACAAAGUGCUUCAGCCUCUCCAGCAGCCCCUUCCCUCAGCUCUAAUGAUGUUGCACUGUUUCCCACCCUAGUCCCUCCCUCCCCAGAGCCCAGCUCCUCGGCUGUGGUGUCAGCCUCAUGUCUUUAUGGCCCAGCCUCCACCCCAUCUCCGGGGUUGCCUGGGUCUCCAGUGACAUCGAGAUGGGCUCUUUCCACCCCCCUCCCCCACUGCUCUGCAGCAUGUGGCCUUGUAGACCCCCCCACACCUGCAUAGGGCUGUGCAGACCCUCUGUUCCUCAGCAUCCUCUCCCCAGCCUCCACCUGGAGCCUCUGGACUCCUUUCUGGGUGACUUCCUCUAUUUUUUGAGACGGAGUCUUGCUCUGUCUCCCAGGCUGGAGUCCAGUGGUGUGAUCUCAGCUCACUGCAGCCUCCGCCUGCUGGGUUCAAGUGAUUCUCAUGCCUCAGCCUCCCGAGCAGCUGAGACUACAGGCUAAUUACCACACUGGCUAAUUUUUGUAUUUUUAGUAGAGACGGGGUUUCACCAUGUUGGCCAGGCUGGUCUCAAACUCCUGAGCUCAGGUGAUCCUCCCACCUCAGCCUCCCAAAGUGCUGGGAUUACAGGCGUGAGCCAUUGCACUCCUUUGCCUGCCUUUUCCCUUCCUGAGCCCCACUCCUCAGCCUCUUCUCCACACACCAUGCCUUCCUCUCCUCAGGCACCAGGCACUGCUUAGUCCCUGCCCCCACCCAGGUCUCCAUUCUGAGCUCCAGUCACCCACACACGCUUCCCCGGGCAUCCCCAGGCUCCUCGCACGCGUGUGUCCAGACAUAAUGCUCCCCCGACCAUGCUGCCCCAGCCUGUACGAGGCUGCCCCAGCUGCUGUCUCCCUCAGGAAGGGUCGCCCACCCCCAGCCUUCCCAAGCCCCUCCGUGCCCCUGUCUUACUUCCAGUGCUCCAGUAGCCUUUCUUAUAAACAUGGCUUCUUUCUUGUAAAGUAAUAAAUGUUUACAGUGG
Molecule: small RNA, 5185 nt
Filed under: Pan troglodytes (chimpanzee)
Lineage: Eukaryota; Metazoa; Chordata; Mammalia; Primates; Hominidae
Description: retained intron
Source: RNAcentral